Molecule: unclassified non-coding RNA, 584 nt
Filed under: Hevea brasiliensis (rubber tree)
Lineage: Eukaryota; Viridiplantae; Streptophyta; Magnoliopsida; Malpighiales; Euphorbiaceae
Source: RNAcentral
AGACACAAAUUCAAGCAACUCAAACUACUCUCUAACUACACAAAUUUUUAUCAUUUAUUAAAGGCACCAAAUGCAAAACACUUUUUAAGUCCACUUUUAUUUCUAUUUUUUAGUGCAAAUGCAUAUUGACUUGCAUGUUUGUUUGUCUCACACAAUCCUAUGGAAAUGUAACUAACUUUCUGGAAAAUUUUGAUAUUAAGAUCUGAAGUUUCAAAUAUUUCCUUGUGAUUUUCAAAUUUUUCAAGCCCAAUAUUAUUUUAGGAAUUAACACAGAUGACUUUUUUCUUUCUCCUUUUUCUUCCUUCCCAAGUUUUACGUUUCCAAAAGCAAGAGUGUUCAAGCUGCAACAUAAUAUGAGAAACUGAAAACUUUCUUCUCUGAUCCAGGGAUUAUGGGUAUUUUUUUCUUAUCAUUUGUUUUAUUUCAUACACAAUUUGCAGUCUUAUUCACUUGUUUUUUUAACAUAUUUACAGACAAUCAAAUUAUAUAUACCACCUUUUGUCUACAGAGAGCUAUCAAAGGACGUAUAUUUAGAUUUAAGUUCACAGCUGAAAAGGAAAUAUACCUGAUAUAGCUGGCGUGAG